RNAcentral lists this ribosomal RNA (1082 nucleotides) under Pseudoalteromonas sp. BB68. RNAcentral describes it as "bacterial SSU rRNA". It matches the Rfam family "Bacterial small subunit ribosomal RNA", at positions 9 to 1087 of the family's 1533-position model. Lineage: Bacteria; Pseudomonadati; Pseudomonadota; Gammaproteobacteria; Alteromonadales; Pseudoalteromonadaceae. The record is from RNAcentral.
GAGUUUGAUCCUGGCUCAGAUUGAACGCUGGCGGCAGGCCUAACACAUGCAAGUCGAGCGGUAACAGAGAGGUGCUUGCACCUUUGCUGACGAGCGGCGGACGGGUGAGUAAUGCUUGGGAACAUGCCUUGAGGUGGGGGACAACAGUUGGAAACGACUGCUAAUACCGCAUAAUGUCUACGGACCAAAGGGGGCUUCGGCUCUCGCCUUUAGAUUGGCCCAAGUGGGAUUAGCUAGUUGGUGAGGUAAUGGCUCACCAAGGCGACGAUCCCUAGCUGGUUUGAGAGGAUGAUCAGCCACACUGGGACUGAGACACGGCCCAGACUCCUACGGGAGGCAGCAGUGGGGAAUAUUGCACAAUGGGCGCAAGCCUGAUGCAGCCAUGCCGCGUGUGUGAAGAAGGCCUUCGGGUUGUAAAGCACUUUCAGUCAGGAGGAAAGGUUAGUAGUUAAUACCUGCUAGCUGUGACGUUACUGACAGAAGAAGCACCGGCUAACUCCGUGCCAGCAGCCGCGGUAAUACGGAGGGUGCGAGCGUUAAUCGGAAUUACUGGGCGUAAAGCGUACGCAGGCGGUUUGUUAAGCGAGAUGUGAAAGCCCUGGGCUCAACCUGGGAACUGCAUUUCGAACUGGCAAACUAGAGUGUGAUAGAGGGUGGUAGAAUUUCAGGUGUAGCGGUGAAAUGCGUAGAGAUCUGAAGGAAUACCGAUGGCGAAGGCAGCCACCUGGGUCAACACUGACGCUCAUGUACGAAAGCGUGGGGAGCAAACGGGAUUAGAUACCCCGGUAGUCCACGCCGUAAACGAUGUCUACUAGAAGCUCGGGUCCUCGGACUUGUUUUUCAAAGCUAACGCAUUAAGUAGACCGCCUGGGGAGUACGGCCGCAAGGUUAAAACUCAAAUGAAUUGACGGGGGCCCGCACAAGCGGUGGAGCAUGUGGUUUAAUUCGAUGCAACGCGAAGAACCUUACCUACACUUGACAUACAGAGAACUUACCAGAGAUGGUUUGGUGCCUUCGGGAACUCUGAUACAGGUGCUGCAUGGCUGUCGUCAGCUCGUGUUGUGAGAUGUUGGGUUAAGUCC